GAUGAAGCACGUAGCGAAAUGCGAUACGUAGUGUGAAUUGCAGAAUUCAGUGAAUCAUCGAAUCUUUGAACGCACAUUGCACCUCUCGGUAUUCCGGGAGGUAUGCCUGUUCGAGCGUCAUUUGUACCCUCAAGCUCUGCUUGGUGUUGGGUGUUUGUUCCGCCUCUGUGUGUGAACUCGCCUCAAAACAAUUGGCAGCCGGCGUACUUGUUUCGGAGCGCAGCACAUUUUGCGAUCCAGAUCAACGUACAGCGGCAUCCAAGAAGCCUUAUUUAACGCUCUUGACCUCGGAUCAGGUAGGGAUACCCGCUGAACUUAAGCAUAUCAAUAAGCGGAGGA
Molecule: unclassified non-coding RNA, 339 nt
Filed under: soil metagenome
Description: partial contains 5.8S ribosomal RNA, internal transcribed spacer 2, and large subunit ribosomal RNA
Rfam family: 5.8S ribosomal RNA (bases 1-120)
Source: RNAcentral